This 70-nucleotide non-coding RNA is filed under the name unclassified sequences. The record is from RNAcentral.
CGCCAUAGGUUGUGGGUAGCAGUAAUGCCCCAGCGGCCCGUUUACGAGCCGUAGACCAGCCUAUGGCGUU